UUACCCUUGCGGGUUCUCCACCGAGACGCUCAUUUUUGCCUAAGCCGCCCUUUCGGGUUUUCAACUUAGCGAGCCAUUCUGUUUUUUUUCAUUCUUCUUUUUUUUCUCAUUUUUGCACAUACUCUUUUUUUUUUUUUAGGCAAAGUAUCUCUUAACUGCAUCUGAAUUCACAGGACGAGUGAAAUCCUCCCCAUCCAUUGUUGUAAGCAUCAAAGCUCCGCCUGAAAAGGCUCUCUUAACAACAUAUGGACCCUCGUAGUUUGGAGUCCACUUGC
Molecule: long non-coding RNA, 275 nt
Filed under: Lathyrus oleraceus (garden pea)
Lineage: Eukaryota; Viridiplantae; Streptophyta; Magnoliopsida; Fabales; Fabaceae
Description: Pisum sativum (pea) long non-coding RNA (PSAT_LNC040886)
Source: RNAcentral